CGCCAGACUCCUACGGGAGGCAGCAGUGGGGAAUAUUGCACAAUGGGGGAAACCCUGAUGCAGCGACGCCGCGUGAGCGAUGAAGUAUUUCGGUAUGUAAAGCUCUAUCAGCAGGGAAGAAGAUGACGGUACCUGACUAAGAAGCCCCGGCUAACUACGUGCCAGCAGCCGCGGUAAUACGUAGGGGGCAAGCGUUAUCCGGAUUUACUGGGUGUAAAGGGAGCGUAGACGGCGAUGCAAGCCAGAUGUGAAAGCCCGGGGCUCAACCCCGGGACUGCAUUUGGAACUGUGUGGCUGGAGUGUCGGAGAGGCAGGCGGAAUUCCUAGUGUAGCGGUGAAAUGCGUAGAUAUUAGGAGGAACACCAGUGGCGAAGGCGGCCUGCUGGACGAUGACUGACGUUGAGGCUCGAAAGCGUGGGGAGCAAACAGGAUUAGAUACCCGCGUAU
RNAcentral lists this ribosomal RNA (447 nucleotides) under uncultured bacterium. RNAcentral describes it as "bacterial SSU rRNA". It matches the Rfam family "Bacterial small subunit ribosomal RNA", at positions 329 to 793 of the family's 1533-position model. The record is from RNAcentral.